RNAcentral lists this ribosomal RNA (253 nucleotides) under uncultured bacterium. Its description in RNAcentral is "partial 16S ribosomal RNA". It matches the Rfam family "Bacterial small subunit ribosomal RNA", at positions 524 to 776 of the family's 1533-position model. The record is from RNAcentral.
UACAGUGGUCUCAAGCGUUGUUCGGAUUCAUUGGGCGUAAAGGGUGCGUAGGCGGCGCGGUAAGUCGGAUGUGAAAUCUCGGGGCUUAACUCCGAAACUGCAUUCGAUACUGCCGUGCUUGAGGACUGGAGAGGAGACUGGAAUUUACGGUGUAGCGGUGAAAUGCGUAGAUAUCGUAAGGAAGACCAGUGGCGAAGGCGGGUCUCUGGACAGUUCCUGACGCUGAGGCACGAAGGCCAGGGGAGCAAACGGG